RNAcentral lists this long non-coding RNA (803 nucleotides) under Callithrix jacchus (white-tufted-ear marmoset). Its description in RNAcentral is "lncRNA (ENSCJAG00000076023.1)". The record is from RNAcentral. Lineage: Eukaryota; Metazoa; Chordata; Mammalia; Primates; Cebidae.
CAUCUGGAGUCAGCUUUCAGUAUAAUCUUUUCUUCCUGCAAGCCCUAGAGAUUUGGUCUGCUCACCUUUCUUCUUUCAGGCUGUCACCACCAAUUCUCCGUCCUAUGGUUCAUCUUCCACCAGAAUUCUGGGACAGAAUCUGUCCCUAAGGCUGGAGUGUAGUGGCCCCAUCACUGCUCACUGCAGCCUCGAUCGCCCCAGGCUUAAGUGAUCCUUCCACCUCAGGCUCCCAAGCAGCUGAGACCACAGUGCCUUUUAUUGUCUAAACUUACCCAGAAGCAAGUUGAGAAGGAAGCUUGGGAAAACGUUACCAGGGUUUAGCUUCCUAUGGUACAGAAAAGAGCUGAGAGAGAAGGCAAAUUGAUCUGAGAGCAAAUAGGUAAGUAACUGGCACAAUCAUAGAGCAAAGUAGUGUCCCAGCUGAAACACAGAAGAUAGAAAAUAGUUCUAAAUGCAAAGAUAAUGCUUAGUAAGCUACAGUAGGAGUAUUCAGUGUAACACUUCAUAUAGCAGAAUUCUUAUAGCCUGUUGGGAUUUAUUUUUUGGUACUUUACUGCAUUAGAUAUUGAAUUAAUUACUUUACAUGUGCUAAUUCUUUUAACCCUCUAUGAGGGGUUGUUAGGUGCUACUAUUCAUUUAAAACAGAAAAAAUAAGGCUUAACAAGAUAAAGUAAUUUUCCCAAAAUUAUUCAGUUAAUUAAGCAACAGAACUGAGAUUUGAACCAAGCUUCUACAGACUGUCAUGCUCUUUCCAUUACAUCAUGAUAUAAAAAUAAACUACCUCUAAAUAAGUGAAAUAUACU